AUAUUCCUAGCAGCUAAAUUGUGCUUUGAUUGCACUCGAGGUCCUUGAGAAACAAACAGGUAAACAAAAGGCAAACUUUGUUGGCAAAAUUAAAUAUAUACGACCGAUGUGAAUCACAAACACAUAACGGGGUAUAUUGUUAUACACUGAAUGAGGGAAAGAGAGACCUUCCACGCGCAAACUGAUCUAUCGGCAAACUGUCGAAGAAUUGUUGAUACCGAUACCACUAACAAAGCCGCCAUACACAUAGGCCAGCCUGACGGACCUUUCAUGCAUGUUCGCACAUACAUGACCGUAGCCACAGCCAUACCCACAGGCAUACCCAUACCCAAACCCAUAUCCACAACCAUACCCACUCGCAUACCCAUACCCAAACCCAUAUCCACACCACGCCCAGGCCAGGGUCUUGCCAACUUUCAGAUAUCCCCAAAUAGGUGCAUAAUUGGUGCAUCGCACUCUCCGAUAAUUGGUAGUACUGGCUCCAUGCUGGCAAAUACGAUCCUCCCACCAGUCGAAGGCACUCUCUCCACCCGGGGCUCCAUUCGGGGGCUUUUGAGUGGCGCUCUCGGCAAAUGGUUCGCCAUUAGUCGAAGAGAUAAUGAUAAUGUCGAUAACACCACGAGUAUCUUAUCGUUCAGCAUUGAACGGACACACACAUUCGCGGGCUUACAGCCAAACCUAGGCAAACCUAUAUGAAUCGUGCCAGGCUCUCGCGUUGCGUUGAACUGCCCCCUUGACUCACUCAUCCCGCUUCACAUGGCUGUGGCGUCUGUGCACCCCAACUAUCCCCAACACUAUCCACUGGCCCAGCAGAAGAGACCAUGACCAAACCCUAUCUGCCCGUUAACAUGAAUCAUGGAUUUAACAACAUCUAAUUUGUCAUAUUAAUGUUUCAAUGGAACCCCUGCUCUUACCACUCCGAAUCUCGUGAAUUGCUCAGUUGUGAUGGACGCCUAAACGAAGGAUACAGCGACGCAUCCCAGAAAGAAAUUAAACCAAUUUAGAAUCAAAGAUGGCUUACUCCUCAAAAUUACCCUCUAAAUCAAAGUUUAAAUUACCUAACCAAACAUAUCCCGACUUCAGAGAGGAACAUUAUACUUCUUAAUUUCUUUGUACAUUUUAAUUUAAGCUAUAGAUCUAGCCAUAUUUGUUGGGGACACCGCCCCUGUUUCUCGCUAUCAAAAAAAAGCUUUCAUUAAAUUAGAAAGAGCAUCAUACCAAGUUUUCCAUUUUUAUAUGAAGUAUAUAUAUUAGGUGGAAUGGCGAUUUUUUGGCAUAUGUUUUGAAUGUUUUUGUGGAAAUUCGAGUUUCGUUAUUUAUUAUAUUCAACCUCGCCUCAAUGGGCAAUAUUACCGUUUUUAUCAAACACUAUAAUUUUUAAGACAUUAUUAUUUUGUAUAUUUUUAAGGCCAUAGUGAUGGCUCUGUUUUUGUUUGU
Long non-coding RNA from Drosophila elegans, 1437 nucleotides. RefSeq lists it as uncharacterized. The record is from RefSeq and is a predicted model, not a curated record. Lineage: Eukaryota; Metazoa; Arthropoda; Insecta; Diptera; Drosophilidae. The transcript is spliced from 3 exons.